GGAGCCGCCCGCGGCCCUGCGCCUCCCCCAGGCUCACCUUGGCAAUGCUGCUCAGGUAGUAGCAGGCAUAAGCGACGCUGAAGCCCAGGAUCAGGGACAAGCCCACCCCGGAACCGAAGAACCCCACGCGGACUUGGUGCUCCAGGUGUCUCUGUGGGUCUUCCUGGUGGCCAAGUAUGCCUAACAUGAGAAGCGGUUCGUGGAAGUAAGUGCAAAGGGCAAGAAUAGGAGGAAAUGCAUUAAGUCACAUGCCUUACAGCGUGGAUCUUGGAGAAAAUAUUUCUAAGAGGAGAAAAACCAGAUACAAUGUAAGAGGAUCAGAGAUGGAAGAAGUCAGACUCUUUCGUCUGCUGGCCAUGAAGACACAGGCUGGCAAAAAUUCUACAGUUCAAGAAGAUGGACUUGCAAAGAGCCACAUGAACUUGAAAGAAGACCUUGAACUUUUGAAUAGAAUACAGCCACGGCCAACCCCUUGAUUGUAGCCUUGUGAGAUCCUGAGCAGAGGACCCAGCUAAGCUGUCUGGAAUUCUGACACACAGAAACUAGAGAUAAUAAAUGUUACUUGAGGCUGAUCAGUUUCUGGUACUUGACAGCAACUGUGUCCAUCAGUCAUUCCCAUUCCCUGGAGCUUCAACAUUCCUUGUCUGCUUCUUUGUCUCUCUCCUCUUUUUCAUUUUCUUCACCCCAUCCCCCAACACUUCUGGCUCUUUCUUAUCAACAAUUAAACAAAUUUAAGUGUUUCCUAUCUUAUAAAUCUAUCCCUCAUCACAUGUCUUCCUGUAGUUACUGGUCUAUCUGUCUUCCACAUCAUAGCCAAAUAUCUUGAGAGAGUGUUGUGUCAGACAGAAAU
Non-coding RNA from Oryctolagus cuniculus (rabbit), 850 nucleotides. NCBI's taxonomy places the organism in Eukaryota, Metazoa, Chordata, Mammalia, Lagomorpha, Leporidae. The record is from RefSeq and is a predicted model, not a curated record.